Small nucleolar RNA from Ornithorhynchus anatinus (platypus), 138 nucleotides. The record is from RefSeq and is a predicted model, not a curated record. Lineage: Eukaryota; Metazoa; Chordata; Mammalia; Monotremata; Ornithorhynchidae.
CCCCUCUCAGGGUUUCACCUGGAGAGUUUCCAGUACUCUACCAGUCUUGACCAAGAGAGGGAGAGUCAAGCAGAGGCAUACCCAUUCCAUUCCUAGAUUGGGUGGUGGUUAGCGAGCGGAAGGCAGUCUGCUACAAAU